This is a long non-coding RNA of Bos indicus x Bos taurus (hybrid cattle), 1273 nucleotides long. The record is from Ensembl. Lineage: Eukaryota; Metazoa; Chordata; Mammalia; Artiodactyla; Bovidae.
GUUUAUUAGACUCACACAGCCCUUGCUGCUGUCUCUUGUCCUGUAAAGGACCUGGAAGAGGGAGUGGUCCACUUUAGCUGCAAACAAGGGCGCUUUUUAUUUUUUUAAGAAUUACGUUUGAUAAGUAUGCCUAGGCGAUACAAGGGAUGUGAACGACUUUCAGAGAGAUUGUGAAUAUUAUUUGGUGCAUACUAAAAAGCCGGAAAUCCCUAAAUAAAUGCAGUAAGGAUAGAAAGCAAGUUUCUUGAAGAGUCACCUGCUAAACUCUACUAGCGUCUUCUCUACAGAAAAGCCAGUAUUGCCAGAAUCAAUUAAUAAAUAAUCCAUCCUGUCAUCCCCUGGACCUACAGUCAGUCCACUCUGCCUCAUAUUCCGUUUCCUUGUGCAAACUUAUUUCUGGCUCUCUAAUCUGUCCUGUCACAGGACACCUUCCUCCUCACUUCUGGACUCCGACCUCCCAUACCAGGCCGUUCUUAUCUCACUGGGCCUCUGACAGAAGACACCGCACCAUCUGCCUGUGUGUGGAGAUCUUGUCGUUCUGCCUGGGAUCUGACAGUGCAGAACUCUCUGCACGACCCCCUCAAGCUAUUCUAGCUCCAGCAUCUCUUGCCAAACUCGAUGGGAGUUUACCUAAUUUCUGUCACUUACACUGAGGCUUUCCUCAACUGCAUCCAUCCUCACCCUAUCAGGUCCUGGCGCCGAAGUCAGGUGUCACCCCACGUGUGACUGGCAUCCUCACCUUGCCUAAGCUCUGCUCCCUGAGCUGGGACAUUUGCCUUCCUCACUGUGUUCCUUACAGUCUCUUCAGGAUCAAAAUAACAGAAUUAAACUCUCCCUGAGCUCAGAUGAUAGCUUUCAAAGAACAAAGUAAAAAGAGCAGGGUCCAAAAGGGUCCUACUGUCCCUCAGCAAAUAUUGUAUUAAGAAAUAUCUUCCCAAUUUAUGAGCAGAGGGAAAAACCAAUUAUGUAUAUAAGUGGACUUUGCUGUGCCCGUAUAUAUGGGCAUUCCAGGUGGCUCAGUGGUAAAGAAUCUCUGCCCCUGGAAGAGACUCAAGAGACUCAGGUUUGAUCUCUGGGUUGGGAGGAUUCCCUGGAGGAGGAAAUGGCAAACCACUCCAGUAUUUUUGCCCGGAGACUCUCAAGGACAGAGAAUCCUGGUGGGCUACAGUUCAUAGAGUCACAAAGAGUGGGACAUGCUGAAUUGGCAUAGCAUGCGUAUAUAUAUGCAGAUGAAAUAAUGCUACAUGGUUUUUAGUGAAUAAAUAUUUUAAUA